This 1551-nucleotide ribosomal RNA is filed under the name Triticum aestivum (bread wheat). RNAcentral's name for it is "partial small subunit ribosomal RNA". The record is from RNAcentral. Lineage: Eukaryota; Viridiplantae; Streptophyta; Magnoliopsida; Poales; Poaceae.
AUGGGUAGUACUGGUAGCCCCUCGGUAGCCGCUCUACCAACAAGCGGCCUGCUACCCCCGAUACGCACGCCAAGGUCAGCGCCGGCCGAAUGGAAGACGGACGACGAUUCCGCGGUGGCGGCAGCGGAGGAGGAGCCAGUGACCCCUAGUGCAAGACUCUUCGAAGCUAUAUACAUCGUGGUUAUGGUCGGCCUUGGCUCGCCCGUCAACCUAGCCAUCUUCAGCGCCGGCAUCGCAGCCCAACUUGCUCGUUACCCACGCUUCCGUAGCAUUCAAGUGACAGACGGGUGCAAGAGCCCGCGGUGGGCGUGCACGGAGGUGAACGUCGACGACCACAUGAUCGUCCCGACGCUGGACCCCGCCGCCGUGGAGGCUGACCCGGACCGGGCCGUGGAGGACUACGUGGCCUCGCUGCAGGCGCUCCCCAUGGAUUGCUCCCGCCCGCUCUGGGAGUUCCACUUCCUCGACUUCCCGACCUCAGAGGCCACCUCCACCGUGGUGUUCCGCGUCCACCACUCCCUCGGUGACGGGAUGUCGCUGAUCACGCUCCUCCUGGCGUCUGCCCGCAGCGCCGCGGACCCGACACGCCUGCCGGCCAUGCCGGAGCAGCCGGCGCGCACGGGCGCCAUCUACGAGCCGCGGCACCGGCAGCCGCUGCCCUCGGGCGCCCUGGCGGCGUUCGUCGCAUGGGUCUGGCCGUAUCUUGCGCUUGCAUGGAACACCGUGGUGGACGUCAUCUUCUUUGCUGCGACGAUUGUGUUUCUGAGAGACCCGAACACACUCUUCAGACGCGGGGACAGUCAAGUUACGUUGAACCCCCGCAGGCGCUUCGUGCACCGGAGCUUUAGCUUGGACGACGUCAAGUUCAUCAAGAAUGCCAUGAACUGCACUGUUAAUGAUGUGCUAGUCGGAGUCACUUCUGCUGCUCUAUCACAAUAUUACUUUCGUAAGUCUGGUUACCCUAAGACACACAAACUAUGUUUGCGAUGUGUCCUCCCUGUAAAUACAAGGCCAACAUCUAGCCUACAAACAUAUGUUAAUAUGAUAGAAUCGGGUAAAAGUAAUGACGUGGCAUGGGGAAAUCAAAUAGGCUACAUCCUCCUACCAUUUCAUUUAGCGGUACACGAUGAUCCACUUGCAUAUGUUCGGAUGGCAAAGAAGACCCUGGAUAGAAAAAAGAGCUCACUUGAAGUUAUCUUCACGUGUAUGAUUAGCGAGCUUUUUGUUAAAAUGUUUGGUCUAAAGGCAGGUGCUUUUAUCAUCGGUCGUAUGCUCACAAAUACAACUACUACGCUCUCGAACAUGGUUGGACCAACAGAGCAAGUAGAGUUCUAUGGACACCCAUUUGUCUUCAUUGCACCUACAGUUUAUGGUAUUCCACAAGCUUUAAUUGUACACUAUCAGAGUUACAAUAGCACUAUUAAGGUAAUUUUGUCAGUCGAUGAGGAAAUAAUUCCAAAUUAUACUCAACUUCUGGAUGACUUUGUUGAGUCUUUCGGGCACAUUAAGGAUGCGGCUUCAAGGCUUUCAACACAUGUCAAGAAAGGAUAA